This 157-nucleotide ribosomal RNA is filed under the name Armeria splendens. Its description in RNAcentral is "5.8S ribosomal RNA". It matches the Rfam family "5.8S ribosomal RNA". Rfam says of the family: 5.8S ribosomal RNA (5.8S rRNA) is a component of the large subunit of the eukaryotic ribosome. It is transcribed by RNA polymerase I as part of the 45S precursor that also contains 18S and 28S rRNA. Functionally, it is thought that 5.8S rRNA may be involved in ribosome translocation. The record is from RNAcentral. Lineage: Eukaryota; Viridiplantae; Streptophyta; Magnoliopsida; Caryophyllales; Plumbaginaceae.
AAUGACUCUCGGCAACGGAUAUCUCGGCUCUCGCAUCGAUGAAGAACGUAGCGAAAUGCGAUACUUGGUGUGAAUUGCAGAAUCCCGUGAACCAUUGAGUCUUUGAACGCAAGUUGCGCCCGAAGCCUUUUGGCCGAGGGCACGUUUGCCUGGGCGU